UCCUGGUGGCGAGUGGCGAACGGGUUAAAAAUACAUCCUAACGUGUCCUGGAGUGGGGGAUAGCCCGGCUAAAGCCGGAUUAAUACCGCAUACGCUCUGAGGAGAAAAGCGGGGGAUCUUUCGGGACCUCGCGCUCAAGGGGCGGCCGAUGGCAGAUUAGGUAGUUGGUGAGGUAAAGGCUCACCAAGCCUUCGAUCUGUAGCUGGUCUGAGAGGACGACCAGCCACACUGGGACUGAGACACGGCCCAGACUCCUACGGGAGGCAGCAGUGGGGAAUUUUGGACAAUGGGCGAAAGCCUGAUCCAACCAUGCCGCGUGCAGGAUGAAGGCCUUCGGGUUGUAAACUGCUUUUGUACGGAACGAAAAGGUCUUUUCUAAUAAAGAAGGCUCAUGACGGUACCGUAAGAAUAAGCACCGGCUAACUACGUGCCAUCAGCCGCGGUAAUACGUAGGGUGCGAGCGUUAAUCGGAAUUACUGGG
RNAcentral lists this ribosomal RNA (481 nucleotides) under uncultured ammonia-oxidizing bacterium. RNAcentral describes it as "bacterial SSU rRNA". It matches the Rfam family "Bacterial small subunit ribosomal RNA", at positions 83 to 558 of the family's 1533-position model. The record is from RNAcentral.